AAGAGCUCCUGGAUGGCUGUGCUAUUGCCAAUGAAGGUGACUGCCAUCUUGAGGCCACGAGGUGGGAUGUCACAGACGGCUGUCUUGACAUUGUUGGGGAUCCAUUCCACAAAGUAGCUGCUGUUCUUGUUCUGCACGUUAAGCAUCUGCUCAUCGACCUCCUUCAUGGACAUCCGACCACGGAAGACAGCAGCCACGGUGAGGUAUCGGCCGUGGCGGGGGUCACAGGCAGCCAUCAUGUUCUUGGCAUCGAAGACCUGCUGGGUGAGUUCCGGCACUGUGAGAGCUCGAUACUGCUGGCUUCCACGGCUGGUGAGAGGGGCAAAGCCAGGCAUAAAGAAAUGGAGACGUGGGAAGGGGACCAUGUUGACUGCCAACUUGCGGAGGUCAGCAUUGAGCUGGCCAGGGAAACGGAGGCAGGUGGUGACACCACUCAUGGUGGCUGAGACAAGGUGGUUCAGAUCCCCGUAGGUUGGUGUGGUCAGCUUCAGAGUGCGGAAGCAGAUAUCAUAGAGGGCCUCGUUGUCAAUGCAAUAGGUCUCAUCAGUAUUCUCUACCAACUGAUGGACGGAGAGGGUGGCAUUGUAGGGCUCGACCACGGUGUCAGACACUUUGGGUGAAGGCACCACACUGAAGGUAUUCAUGAUGCGAUCAGGGUAUUCUUCUCGGAUCUUGCUGAUAAGGAGAGUGCCCAUUCCAGAGCCUGUGCCCCCGCCCAGUGAGUGGGUCAGCUGGAAGCCCUGCAGGCAGUCACAGCUCUCUG
Molecule: long non-coding RNA, 763 nt
Filed under: Homo sapiens (human)
Lineage: Eukaryota; Metazoa; Chordata; Mammalia; Primates; Hominidae
Description: non-protein coding lnc-FLOT1-1:2
Source: RNAcentral